AAGUUCUUUUAUUAUUUAUUGACCAUUACUAUCAUAACUAGAGCCAAAGUCGCUGAUUCUACAACUCAUGAGACCCAGCUAAAAAGUUAAAGCACAACUUAGUUUCCAAACCUUGGUGGACCUUUUAACUAUGGACCAAAAAGUGCUUUCUAAUAUUAUAAAUGUACUUUCUUUUAUAGUAUGAAUGAAAAUCUAUCUUUUUAUCCUAUUGCUAGAAGUUGAAAGUCAUAGGAAUAACAAAAAAUAUAUUUCAUCAGCACUGUUUAUAUGGAUAAGGAGAAAUUUCGUAGAAGUAGUACAGAUAUGUUGACAGAGAAGAUGAACAUUCAAUAAGCAUAAAAGGAUUACAUUUUAGAUGUCCACAUGAAGAACCAACAGAAGAGAAAAGAACAUUAAUUAUGCAAAUAUAAAAAUAAUCAAAAAAAUUUACCAGCAAGCACUAAUGUCAACUUAGCACACUGCAAAAAAAAAGAAGAAAAGAAAAGAAAGGAAAAGGAAACAAUUAUUCAGCUUCUACGUAAUGAAAAACUAAAACUCA
This 538-nucleotide long non-coding RNA is filed under the name Phoenix dactylifera (date palm). RNAcentral describes it as "long non-coding RNA (PDAC_LNC022195)". Lineage: Eukaryota; Viridiplantae; Streptophyta; Magnoliopsida; Arecales; Arecaceae. The record is from RNAcentral.